GGUCAAGAAGAGAAGCGCAAACGGUGGAUGCCUUGGCAGUAAGAGGCGAAGAAGGACGUGGAAUCCUGCGAAAAGCUAUGGGGAGCUGGAAACGAGCGUUGAGCCAUAGAUGUCCGAAUGGGGGAACCCGGCUGCAGCGAUGCGGUCAUUUGCAUUUGAAUACAUAGGAUGCAAAGGCGAACUCGGGGAACUGAAACAUCUAAGUACCCGAAGGAAAAGAAAUCAAGAGAGAUUCUCCAAGUAGCGGCGAGCGAACGGGGAGGAGCCUGGCGUGAUUUAUUAUUGAACUGAGUAGAACAAUUUGGGAAAGUUGGCCGAAGAGGGUGAAAGCCCCGUAUACGAAGGUUUGAUGAGGAACUAGGCACGCGAACAAGUAGGCCGGGACACGUGAAAUCCUGGUUGAAGAUGGGUGGACCAUCAUCCAAGGCUAAAUACUACUUACUGACCGAUAGUGAACCAGUACCGUGAGGGAAAGGUGAAAAGAACCCCGGAGAGGGGAGUGAAAUAGAAUCUGAAACCGUUUGCGUACAAGCAGUGGGAGCAUGGUUUAGGCUGUGUGACUGCGUACCUUUUGUAUAAUGGGUCAGCGAGUUACUUUCAGUGGCGAGGUUAACUGAAUAAGGGAGCCGUAGAGAAAUCGAGUCUGAAUAGGGCGAUAGUCGCUGGGAGUAGACCCGAAACCGGGCGAUCUAGCCAUGUGCAGGAUGAAGGUUGGGUAACACCAACUGGAGGUCCGAACCGGGUAAUGUUGAAAAAUUAUCGGAUGACGUGUGGCUAGGAGUGAAAGGCUAAUCAAGCCCGGAGAUAGCUGGUUCUCCCCGAAAGCUAUUUAGGUAGCGCCUCGUGAAUGAUUACUGGGGGUAGAGCACUGUUUCGGCUAGGGGGCUGUCAUGGCUUACCAAACCGAUGCAAACUCCGAAUACCGGCUAAUUGAAUCACGGGAGACACACGGCGGGUGCUAACGUCCGUCGUGGAGAGGGAAACAACCCAGACCGCCAGCUAAGGUCCCCAAGUACUAGUUAAGUGGGAAACGAUGUGGGAAGGCAUAGACAGCCAGGAGGUUGGCUUAGAAGCAGCCACCCUUUAAAGAAAGCGUAAUAGCUCACUGGUCGAGUCGGCCUGCGCGGAAGAUGUAACGGGGCUAAAACUAGUCACCGAAGCUGCGGAUGUGCGCGAAGGCGCACGUGGUAGGGGAGCGUUCUGUAGGCUGAUGAAGGUGCAUUGAGAAGUGUGCUGGAGGUAUCAGAAGUGCGAAUGCUGACAUGAGUAACGAUAAUGUGGGUGAAAAGCCCACACGCCGGAAGUCCCAGGUUUCCUGCACGACGUUAAUCGGAGCAGGGUGAGUCGGCCCCUAAGGCGAGGCUGAAGAGCGUAGUCGAUGGGAACCAGGUUAAUAUUCCUGGACUUUUUAUAAGUGGUGAAGUGGGGACGAAGAAGGCUAGGUGAGCCAGGCGUUGGUUGUCCUG
RNAcentral lists this ribosomal RNA (1466 nucleotides) under Legionella pneumophila. Its description in RNAcentral is "partial 23S ribosomal RNA". It matches the Rfam family "Bacterial large subunit ribosomal RNA", at positions 1 to 1509 of the family's 2925-position model. Lineage: Bacteria; Pseudomonadati; Pseudomonadota; Gammaproteobacteria; Legionellales; Legionellaceae. The record is from RNAcentral.